RNAcentral lists this ribosomal RNA (464 nucleotides) under uncultured bacterium. RNAcentral's name for it is "partial 16S ribosomal RNA". It matches the Rfam family "Bacterial small subunit ribosomal RNA", at positions 28 to 507 of the family's 1533-position model. The record is from RNAcentral.
GACGAACGCUGGCGGCGUGCUUAACACAUGCAAGUCGAACGGAAAGGCCCCUUUGGGGGUAAUCGAGUGGCGAACGGGUGAGUAACACGUGAGUAACCUGCCCUUGACUUCGGGAUAACUUCAGGAAACUGGGGCUAAUACCGGAUAGGAAUCCUUGCUGCAUGGUGGGGGUUGGAAAGCUUCGGCGGUUUUGGAUGGACUCGCGGCUUAUCAGCUUGUUGGUGGGGUAGUGGCUUACCAAGGCUUUGACGGGUAGCCGGCCUGAGAGGGCGACCGGCCACAUUGGGACUGAGAUACGGCCCAGACGCCUACGGGAGGCAGCAGUGGGGAAUAUUGCACAAUGGGCGGAAGCCUGAUGCAGCAACGCCGCGUGCGGGAUGACGGCCUUCGGGUUGUAAACCGCUUUCAGCAGGGGCGAAGCUUUUGUGACGGUACCUGCAGAAGAAGCACCGGCUAACUACGUG